AACGCACAUUGCACUCCUUGGUAUUCCGAGGAGUAUGCCUGUUUCAGUAUCAUGAGCACUCUCACAACUAACCUUUGGGUGAAAUUGUGGAAUUGGAAUGCGCUGAUUGUAAUAACCAGCCCUUCUAAAAUCUAUUUCAUGACUGUCACCUAACACAGCAGUUUGGCCUAAUAGUUUUGACAUUGAUUUGUCAAAUCUUUGGCUUACAUUUGCUUCAGGUUGUCAGUUUUGAUAAUACAGAAAACUCAUUCAAAUUUUGAUCUGAAAUCAGGUAGGGCUACCCGCUGAACUUAA
This 294-nucleotide unclassified non-coding RNA is filed under the name Ceriporiopsis sp. RNAcentral's name for it is "partial contains 5.8S ribosomal RNA, internal transcribed spacer 2, and large subunit ribosomal RNA". The record is from RNAcentral. Lineage: Eukaryota; Fungi; Basidiomycota; Agaricomycetes; Polyporales; Meruliaceae. RNAcentral also lists the same sequence under 1 other name.